GACAGAGGUUGCAAACGUUGUUCGGAAUUACUGGGCAUAAAGCGCACGUAGGUGGUCCGCUAAGUCGAUUGUGAAAUUCCCCGGCUCAACCGGGGAACGGCACUCGAUACUGGCGGGCUUGAGGUCCGGAGGGGUGAGUGGAACUCCUGGUGGAGCGGUGAAAUGCGUAGAUAUCAGGAGGAACACCGGUGGCGAAAGCGGCUCACUGGCCGGAAUCUGACACUGAGGUGCGAAAGCCAGGGUAGCAAACGGG
This 253-nucleotide ribosomal RNA is filed under the name uncultured bacterium. Its description in RNAcentral is "partial 16S ribosomal RNA". It matches the Rfam family "Bacterial small subunit ribosomal RNA", at positions 524 to 776 of the family's 1533-position model. The record is from RNAcentral.